Molecule: ribosomal RNA, 253 nt
Filed under: uncultured bacterium
Lineage: Bacteria
Description: partial 16S ribosomal RNA
Rfam family: Bacterial small subunit ribosomal RNA
Source: RNAcentral
UACGGAGGGGGCUAGCGUUAUUCGGAAUUACUGGGCGUAAAGCGCACGUAGGCGGAUCAGAAAGUCAGAGGUGAAAUCCCAGGGCUCAACCUUGGAACUGCCUUUGAAACUCCUGGUCUUGAGGUCGAGAGAGGUGAGUGGAAUUCCGAGUGCAGAGGUGAAAUUCGUAGAUAUUCGGAGGAACACCAGUGGCGAAGGCGGCUCACUGGCUCGAUACUGACGCUGAGGUGCGAAAGCGUGGGGAGCAAACAGG